This 102-nucleotide non-coding RNA is filed under the name unclassified sequences. RNAcentral describes it as "c-di-GMP sequence". It matches the Rfam family "c-di-GMP-II-GAG riboswitch aptamer". The record is from Rfam by way of RNAcentral.
CGACCAGAGGGAGGCAUGGGAGCGGGGACCCGGCAGCGCGACGACCACAGAACGGUCGCCGUCCGUCGCGCUGAGCCAAGGGCGAGACCGGUCCUCGGGUGG